Molecule: ribosomal RNA, 497 nt
Filed under: uncultured bacterium
Lineage: Bacteria
Description: partial 16S ribosomal RNA
Rfam family: Bacterial small subunit ribosomal RNA
Source: RNAcentral
GAUGAACGCUGGCGGCGUGCCUAAUACAUGCAAGUCGAGCGAACGGACGAGAAGCUUGCUUUUCUGAUGUUAGCGGCGGACGGGUGAGUAACACGUGGAUAACCUACCUAUAAGACUGGGAUAACUUCGGGAAACCGGAGCUAAUACCGGAUAAUAUUUUGAACCGCAUGGUUCAAAAGUGAAAGACGGUCUUGCUGUCACUUAUAGAUGGAUCCGCGCUGCAUUAGCUAGUUGGUAAGGUAACGGCUUACCAAGGCAACGAUGCAUAGCCGACCUGAGAGAGUGAUCGCCCACACUGGAACUGAGACACGGUCCAGACUCCUACGGGAGGCAGCAGUAGGGAAUCUUCCGCAAUGGGCGAAAGCCUGACGGAGCAACGCCGCGUGAGUGAUGAAGGUCUUCGGAUCGUAAAACUCUGUUAUUAGGGAAGAACAUAUGUGUAAGUAACUGUGCACAUCUUGACGGUACCUAAUCAGAAAGCCACGGCUAACUACGUG